Molecule: long non-coding RNA, 696 nt
Filed under: Cricetulus griseus (Chinese hamster)
Lineage: Eukaryota; Metazoa; Chordata; Mammalia; Rodentia; Cricetidae
Description: lncRNA (ENSCGRG00015034238.1)
Source: RNAcentral
CGGCGCCUGCGAGCGGGGUCUGGGCUUCGCGCGUGAGAAGCCGCGGCGGGAAGUUCCCAGGCCCGGGGACGUGUGCGGGGAACCUGGGCCCGGGCCGCGGGGACAUCGCGCCGGGGAGCUAGGGAGAGGAGUUGGGAUGCAGAAACUUUUACGAUGUCUGCCUUGAACAUCCCACAAAAGCAGGAGAAAGGUGACCACAACUACUGGAAUUUCGAAAGCAACAGACGAAUUAAGUCCAGAUGAGUGUUUCACGACUCUCCAUUCCACCCUCUGAUUUCUAUAGAAACUGUAGCUCAGACAUAUUGCUGAGAAGAAUGCCCAUUGGUCAUAAAGAGGUGCUCUCAGGUGACAAGAAGAGCCCAGCAGCUGAACAGUGCCAUCUGGUGCCCGGGAGGUGUCAUUUUGAAGCUUUUCUCUCCUUUGAACUAAUCUCACCAAACCAUUAAGGCUCACUACCAACUGUAAUGCCAGUUCUAGGGGAUCCGAUGCUCUCUUCUGGCCCCUGUGGGUAUCAGGAACUGGUGAGAUGCUCAGUAGGUAAAGACGCUUGCCAUCAAGUCUGAUGACCUGAGUUCCAUGCACAGGACCCACAUGAUGGAACUGGCUACCACAAGUUGUUCCCUGGCCUAUGUAUGCAUGCCAUGGUAUGUGCAACCCUCUCCCCCAAUAAAUAAAUGUAAUUUAAAAAGCAGAUAA